RNAcentral lists this ribosomal RNA (1343 nucleotides) under uncultured bacterium. RNAcentral describes it as "16S ribosomal RNA". It matches the Rfam family "Bacterial small subunit ribosomal RNA", at positions 28 to 1378 of the family's 1533-position model. The record is from RNAcentral.
GACGAACGCUGGCGGCGUGCUUAACACAUGCAAGUCGAACGGAAAGGCCCUGCUUUUGUGGGGUGCUCGAGUGGCGAACGGGUGAGUAACACGUGAGUAACCUGCCCUUGACUUUGGGAUAACUUCAGGAAACUGGGGCUAAUACCGGAUAGGAGCUCCUGCUGCAUGGUGGGGGUUGGAAAGUUUCGGCGGUUGGGGAUGGACUCGCGGCUUAUCAGCUUGUUGGUGGGGUAGUGGCUUACCAAGGCUUUGAUGGGUAGCCGGCCUGAGAGGGUGACCGGCCACAUUGGGACUGAGAUACGGCCCAGACUCCUACGGGAGGCAGCAGUGGGGAAUAUUGCACAAUGGGCGGAAGCCUGAUGCAGCAACGCCGCGUGCGGGAUGACGGCCUUCGGGUUGUAAACCGCUUUCGCCUGUGACGAAGCGUGAGUGACGGUAAUGGGUAAAGAAGCACCGGCUAACUACGUGCCAGCAGCCGCGGUGAUACGUAGGGUGCGAGCGUUGUCCGGAUUUAUUGGGCGUAAAGGGCUCGUAGGUGGUUGAUCGCGUCGGAAGUGUAAUCUUGGGGCUUAACCCUGAGCGUGCUUUCGAUACGGGUUGACUUGAGGAAGGUAGGGGAGAAUGGAAUUCCUGGUGGAGCGGUGGAAUGCGCAGAUAUCAGGAGGAACACCAGUGGCGAAGGCGGUUCUCUGGGCCUUUCCUGACGCUGAGGAGCGAAAGCGUGGGGAGCGAACAGGCUUAGAUACCCUGGUAGUCCACGCUGUAAACGGUGGGUACUAGGUGUGGGGUCCAUUCCACGGGUUCCGUGCCGUAGCUAACGCUUUAAGUACCCCGCCUGGGGAGUACGGCCGCAAGGCUAAAACUCAAAGGAAUUGACGGGGCCCCGCACAAGCGGCGGAGCAUGCGGAUUAAUUCGAUGCAACGCGUAGAACCUUACCUGGGUUUGACAUGGAUCGGGAGCGCUCAGAGAUGGGUGUGCCUCUUUUGGGGUCGGUUCACAGGUGGUGCAUGGCUGUCGUCAGCUCGUGUCGUGAGAUGUUGGGUUAAGUCCCGCAACGAGCGCAACCCUUGUUCACUGUUGCCAGCACGUUAUGGUGGGGACUCAGUGGAGACCGCCGGGGUCAACUCGGAGGAAGGUGGGGAUGGCGUCAAGUCAUCAUGCCCCUUAUGUCCAGGGCUUCACGCAUGCUACAAUGGCUGGUACAGAGAGUGGCGAGCCUGUGAGGGUGAGCGAAUCUCGGAAAGCCGGUCUCAGUUCGGAUUGGGGUCUGCAACUCGACCUCAUGAAGUCGGAGUCGCUAGUAAUCGCAGAUCAGCAACGCUGCGGUGAAUACGUUCCCGGG